GACGGAGGAUGCAAGCGUUAUCCGGAAUUAUUGGGCGUAAAGCGUCCGCAGGCGGCUCAGCAAGUCUGCUGUCAAAGAGCGGGGCUCAACUCCGUAAGGGCAGUGGAAACUGCUGGGCUAGAGUGUGGUAGGGGCAGAGGGAAUUCCCGGUGUAGCGGUGAAAUGCGUAGAUAUCGGGAAGAACACCAGUGGCGAAAGCGCUCUGCUGGGCCAUAACUGACGCUCAUGGACGAAAGCUAGGGGAGCGAAU
This 250-nucleotide ribosomal RNA is filed under the name uncultured bacterium. RNAcentral's name for it is "partial 16S ribosomal RNA". It matches the Rfam family "Bacterial small subunit ribosomal RNA", at positions 524 to 773 of the family's 1533-position model. The record is from RNAcentral.